Helianthus annuus (common sunflower) is the source of this 784-nucleotide long non-coding RNA. RefSeq lists it as uncharacterized. The transcript is spliced from 3 exons. Lineage: Eukaryota; Viridiplantae; Streptophyta; Magnoliopsida; Asterales; Asteraceae. The record is from RefSeq and is a predicted model, not a curated record.
ACCCUAAAAUGAGUUUUGUUACAGCCGCACAUCAAACUCCUUUCCCUCUCAAAUUGUCCCUCCUCCUUCAUCUUCCCCCUCGUUCUUUCACCUCCGACGAAGAACCGGAGCAACGCCGGUCGUUAUCUCGGCCACUCACGCACAUCCUCACUUCAUCCUUAGCCGCUUGAACUGUAUCAUGAGAGAGGAGAUGAGCGAGUGUCGUGACGGAGGGAGAGAGAACGGAGGAGUCAUGACGUCGGUAGUUGCGGCGGGUCUCAACGGCGAACAACACUCCGGCGGUGAAGGUCACGACGCCGUAGUUUCGCCGAAGAUCGGAGCUCGCCGGAGUUAACAUCGGAAUUCGACUAGUCUUGCGUUCGGAUAACCGUUUCGUUCAGUCGGAAAUCCCUAUCAUUUACUCGUGCGUUAUUUUACAAGAAAUCGCAACGCAACCAAUGUUUCUAUAUCCAAAAUGAGAUGCGAUGUAACCCCCUGAUGUAGUGUUUCUCAAAUUUGCUUUAAAACAUCAUUUGAUCAGGAGGAUACUAAUUUGGAUACGAUGUGCGAAGGUGUCUUGAAGCGCAAUUGUGGGUACCAGUCGUUUAUCAUGUUGAUUAUGUUUCUUUCCAGUCGUCAUAAAAAAUGCUUAAAGGCGAUAUUGGGCAUGAGGUGUUUGAUGCUGUCGAUACAUUGCUUCAAAUUCCGAAUAAUUUUUUCCGUCUUUGGACAAUUAUAUCAUCGAAUAAUUUUUUCCGUAUUUGGAUAUUUGUGUAUUUAUUUUUAAUUGACAAUUGUUUUGACA